AAAGUAAACUGGAUAAUCGCUAAUGUCGUAUAACAGGGAUUAGAGGAAAGUCCGAGCUCCACAGGGCAAGGGGCUGGGUAACACCCAGGCGGAGUGAUCCGACAGACAGUGCCACAGAAAAGACACAGCCGAUGGCUUUUACCGGAGCACAGGCAAUGGUGAAAAGGUGGAGUAAGAGCCCACCGCAAUUCUGGCGACAGAAUUGGCAGGGUAAACCUCUCCUGGAGCAAGAUCAAAUAGGAAAGCGUCUGAGAGUAGCCCGCUCGAUGUUUUCGGGUUGAUCGCAAGAGGUGCACGGUAACGAGCAUCCCAGAUGAAUGAUUAUCGCUCCUGAAGCGGAGAACAGAACUCGGCUUAUAGGUUUGCUUUAGUA
This 373-nucleotide RNase P RNA is filed under the name Candidatus Vecturithrix granuli. RNAcentral describes it as "Bacterial RNase P class A". It matches the Rfam family "Bacterial RNase P class A". Rfam says of the family: Ribonuclease P (RNase P) is a ubiquitous endoribonuclease, found in archaea, bacteria and eukarya as well as chloroplasts and mitochondria. Its best characterised activity is the generation of mature 5'-ends of tRNAs by cleaving the 5'-leader elements of precursor-tRNAs. Lineage: Bacteria; Candidatus Moduliflexota; Candidatus Vecturitrichia; Candidatus Vecturitrichales; Candidatus Vecturitrichaceae. The record is from Rfam by way of RNAcentral.